Molecule: ribosomal RNA, 2916 nt
Filed under: Triticum aestivum (bread wheat)
Lineage: Eukaryota; Viridiplantae; Streptophyta; Magnoliopsida; Poales; Poaceae
Description: partial small subunit ribosomal RNA
Source: RNAcentral
AUGGAGAAGCGUCUACUCUCCAACAUCCAUUUGGUAACUAUAUGUGCAAUUCUCUUGUUUACCCGAGCCAAGAGCUUUGUAGAGUCAUCAUCAUCAUCAUCCUCUAGCCACUCAAACAAUACGGUCACUAGAUGUAUCGCCGGUGAGAGGUCCGCGCUUGUCGACUUCAAAGCAAGCAUCUCGGACCCUGCAAACCUCCUAUCAUCUUGGAAGGCUGAUGACUGCUGCAAAUGGAAGGGUGUCCAUUGCAGUAGUAGAAACAACCACGUCGUCAAGCUCGAUCUCCCGGGCCAUGGUUGUGACUACAACGACGUUGAUAUGAUGAUGCAAGUGCUAGGAGGCAACAUUAGCUCCUCGUUGCUUGGUCUACAACACCUACAGUAUCUCAACCUCAGCUGCAACGAGUUCUAUGGGGUGCAAAUACCGGAGUUCCUGGGUUCUCUCCACAAGUUGAGAUACAUCGACCUAUCAAGAUCAACCUUCAGCGGAAGGAUUCCACCGCAGCUCGGUAAUCUCUCCAACCUACGAUACUUAAAUCUUGGCUGGGCAGAUUACACAUACUCCAUGGAUAUCACUUGGUUGGCCCGAUUAACUUCCCUUGAGCAGCUCGACCUGAGCGGCACGAACCUCAGCACAAUCGUCCAGUGGCUUCCGGUGGUGAGCAUGCUUCCAUCUCUAAAAGUUCUUCGUCUUAGCGACUGCAAUCUUAGAACUGACUCUUCUUCACAUCAGAUUUCAAAUCUGACUUCUCUUGAAACACUUGACCUUUCCUACAAUUUCUUCAAUACAAGUAUCACACCCAACUGGUUUUGGGGUUUGACUAGCCUCAAGUAUCUAGAUAUCUCAUGGAAUGGUCUCUAUGGCCAAUUUCCGGACGAGAUAGGCAAUAUGACCUCCAUAGUAAGGCUUGAUUUACAAAUGAAUAACCUUGUGGGCAUGAUAUCAUCCAACCUACAGAACCUAUGUAGCUUGGAAAAAUUCUAUGCACGUGGAAACAACAUCAGUGGAAGCAUAACAGAAUUCUUUCUGCGCUUGCCUAGUUGUUCAUGGAAUAAGUUGACAUACAUGUCUCUACCUUCCAACAAUUUGACAGGAAGCCUACCAACCAAACUAAAACCCUUAAGCAACCUGACCGGCAUUAUUCUUGGUAGUAACAAGCUCACUGGUCCUGUGCCACUUUGGAUAGGAGAGCUCACGAAGCUGACUGAAUUGGACUUGAGCAACAAUAACCUGGAGGGUUUCAUAAAUGAAGGACAUUUAUCAGGCCUUGAAAGCUUGGAAAAGUUGUGGCUGUCUAAUAAUUCCAUAGCCCUCGUACUGAAUUCGACGUGGGUUCCUCCUUCCAAUCUAACAGAUAUUGGACUUCGGUCAUGCCUUCUUGGGCCAAAAUUUCCAUUGUGGCUUAGAUGGCUAACACGUCUAGACAAUCUUGAUAUCUCAAACACGAGCAUAUCUGACAAGGUGCCAGAUUGGUUUUGGGUAGUGGCUUCCACUGUGAGAACUCUGAAUAUUCGACAUAACCAAAUUAUCGGUUCUUUACCAUCUACAAUGGAACAUAUGAAAGCAACUGCAAUUGAUCUCAGUUCUAACCAGUUCAAUGGCCCAAUACCUAAGCUUCCCAUUAGUCUGAGUGAGUUGGAUCUUAGUAGAAACAAUUUAGUUGGGCCACUACCAUCAGACUUUGGAGCACCGAGUCUAACAAGACUGAUUCUAUUUGACAACUCCAUCUCUGGCACAAUUCCUUCUUCAUUGUGUAAACUGCGAUUACUACUUCUGUUGGAUAUCUCCGAAAAUAAGCUAACUGGACAAAUUCCUGAUUGUGCUGCUAUUACCUCUGAGACAAACAUAACAAGUAUGAGUAUCAACAAUCUAAGCUUGAGAAACAACAACCUCUCGGGUGAAUUUCCUUCAUUUCUCCAAGACUGCCCGCAACUCUCCUUUCUUGAUCUUGCACACAACAAUUUCGUUGGAACUUUGCCAACAUGGAUAGGGGAUAAAUUGCCAUAUUUGGCUUUCUUGCGACUACGAUCGAAUAAGUUUUAUGGUCGCAUUCCGGAGGAACUUACACAGAUAGUUAAUCUUCAGUAUUUGGACCUUUCCUACAAUAAUAUGACGGGGAUCAUACCUAAAUCUAUUGUUAACAUCAAAGGGAUGAUACUAAUGCAAGAUUACGAUGAUUCAUUUCAUCGUGCUUUCCGUUAUGGAGAGUCGAUUAUUGGUCCUGGUGACAUGAUCACAUAUACCGAGAAUUUCACGGUAGUCACAAAGGGCCAAGAGAGAUUAUAUACAGGAGAGAUCAUAUAUAUGGUGAAUCUUGAUUUAUCAUAUAACAAUCUUAUUGGAGAUAUUCCCGAAGAAAUCGGCAGUCUUGUCGAAUUGAAGAACCUAAACUUAUCAUGGAACACCUUCAGCGGAAAAAUUCCUGCGAAUAUUGGCGCCUUGGCGCAAGUGGAGUCACUCGACCUAUCACACAAUGAGUUGUCCGGUGGAAUCCCUGCCAGCUUAUCGACUCUCACAUCAUUAAGUCACUUGAACCUGUCCUACAACAACCUGACAGGAGAGGUACCAUCUGGAAAUCAACUGCAAACACUUGAGGAUCCAGAAUCUAUUUAUAUUGGCAACCCGGGCCUCUGCGGGUCUCCCUUGUCGCAGGAAUGUUCACAACCCGAGCCAACUCCGGCUACCGUGGAACACCAUGAAGAUUUGAACGAUGUGGUCUUGUUUUUCAUCGCGAUGGGUUCUGGAUAUGUAAUGGGACUCUGGGUAGUCUUCUGCACCUUCUUGUUCCAGAGGAAAUGGAGAGUUAAGUGGUACUCCAUUUGUGAUGGCUGGUAUGACCGGGUCUAUGUGCAAGUGGCAGUUACAUGGGCUUCUUGGACAAGGAAAAAAUGUGCAGAAGCUGAGAGCGAUCACUAG